Molecule: transfer RNA, 68 nt
Filed under: Branchiostoma belcheri (Belcher's lancelet)
Lineage: Eukaryota; Metazoa; Chordata; Leptocardii; Amphioxiformes; Branchiostomatidae
Also listed under: 1 other name
Description: transfer RNA-Glu
Source: RNAcentral
AUUUUUGUAGUUAAAUUAUACUAUAACAUAAGCUUUUCAUGCUUAAAUUCUUGAUACAAGCAAAAAUU